RNAcentral lists this ribosomal RNA (526 nucleotides) under uncultured Streptococcus sp. Its description in RNAcentral is "bacterial SSU rRNA". It matches the Rfam family "Bacterial small subunit ribosomal RNA", at positions 29 to 537 of the family's 1533-position model. Lineage: Bacteria; Bacillati; Bacillota; Bacilli; Lactobacillales; Streptococcaceae. The record is from RNAcentral.
ACGAACGCUGGCGGCGUGCCUAAUACAUGCAAGUAGAACGCUGAGGUUUGGUGUUUACACUAGACUGAUGAGUUGCGAACGGGUGAGUAACGCGUAGGUAACCUGCCUCAUAGCGGGGGAUAACUAUUGGAAACGAUAGCUAAUACCGCAUAAGAGUAAUUAACACAUGUUGGUUAUUUAAAAGGAGCAAUUGCUUCACUGUGAGAUGGACCUGCGUUGUAUUAGCUAGUUGGUGAGGUAAAGGCUCACCAAGGCGACGAUACAUAGCCGACCUGAGAGGGUGAUCGGCCACACUGGGACUGAGACACGGCCCAGACUCCUACGGGAGGCAGCAGUAGGGAAUCUUCGGCAAUGGACGGAAGUCUGACCGAGCAACGCCGCGUGAGUGAAGAAGGUUUUCGGAUCGUAAAGCUCUGUUGUUAGAGAAGAACGUUGGUAGGAGUGGAAAAUCUACCAAGUGACGGUAACUAACCAGAAAGGGACGGCUAACUACGUGCCAGCAGCCGCGGUAAUACGUAGGUCCCGA